GGAACACUCUGCACCGAGUCAUUUUAUAUAUUCAUAGUUUCAAUAUAUGAAUACCAUAUAUAAAAAUAAUUUUCCUAAAAAAAAAACUAAAUAUUUCACUUCUUUGUUUUCGUUUAGUUUUCAAAAUUUCCUAAUACUGAAACCAACUAGGUACACAGCCUUGAACUUGACUGAUAGAUUACACAGCCCUAUAUUUUACUAGGUGCAAGGUACCAAAUGAACCAGAACAGCUAUGAAUGAAAUCAAGUUCACAUUGGUCUAUACAUGAGUAGGACACUUAGGUAAAUUAUAAAGCUAUCACCUGGCAGCUGGAAGGAAGGCAUCAGCAAAUAUUAUAUUUGUUCCAACACCCUUCAGCAAUGAAUAAGGAAAGAAUUAACCAAAUGUUAAUGAUAGUAAAUUUAUUAUCGGAUAGUUGCUGCAUGAUUCACAUUGUUGAUUGGUAUGAAUUUCUGCUGGCAAUGAAAACAGAGCAUAUACAUGAAAGCAAUGGUCAAGAAAAGAAGAAUUUAUCUUUAGAUUUUACGCUUUCAGUUUCAUUUCAAGUUCCCCCAUUGCAGUAGUGGAUGCCAUU
Molecule: unclassified non-coding RNA, 574 nt
Filed under: Hevea brasiliensis (rubber tree)
Lineage: Eukaryota; Viridiplantae; Streptophyta; Magnoliopsida; Malpighiales; Euphorbiaceae
Source: RNAcentral